CUUAAACGCGAGUUUUUGGCAAAUCUCAAAAAAAUAGUCUUAGUUCGGAUUGAAGUCUGCAACUCGACUUCAUGAAGUUGGAAUCGCUAGUAAUCGCGAAUCAGCAUGUCGCGGUGAAUACGUUCUCGGGGUUUGUACACACCGCCCGUCAAACCACGAAAGUGGACAAUACCCGAAAGCGAUAGCCUAACUGCGCAAGCAGAGGGAAUCGUCUAAGGUAGGGUCGAUGAUUGGGGUUAAGUCGUAACAAGGUAUCCCUACCGGAAGGUGGGGAUGGAUCACCUCCUUUCU
RNAcentral lists this ribosomal RNA (291 nucleotides) under Texas Phoenix palm phytoplasma. RNAcentral describes it as "partial 16S ribosomal RNA". It matches the Rfam family "Bacterial small subunit ribosomal RNA", at positions 1250 to 1533 of the family's 1533-position model. The record is from RNAcentral. Lineage: Bacteria; Bacillati; Mycoplasmatota; Mollicutes; Acholeplasmatales; Acholeplasmataceae.